AUGAAAUGAUGAUGAUGUUUAUCCAUUCUCCGAGUAUUGCCAGUUGCCAGUCCUUGCAGCACUUGAUCUGUUCUAGAUCUGAGUGUGACAGCCCCAUUUACUGUAAAGGUGGCCCAGUGUUCUACUGAGUGCCUUGUAGUAUUUGGUCGCUGUUGUAGGAUUGGUCAAUCUGGCAUGGGCAGUGUCUGCCUAACAAAGAUGAGGAAUCAACUCUGAUCAU
Small nucleolar RNA from Polypterus senegalus (gray bichir), 220 nucleotides. RefSeq annotates it as small nucleolar RNA SNORD17. The transcript has a single exon. The record is from RefSeq and is a predicted model, not a curated record. NCBI's taxonomy places the organism in Eukaryota, Metazoa, Chordata, Cladistia, Polypteriformes, Polypteridae.